Molecule: ribosomal RNA, 490 nt
Filed under: uncultured bacterium
Lineage: Bacteria
Description: partial 16S ribosomal RNA
Rfam family: Bacterial small subunit ribosomal RNA
Source: RNAcentral
AUUGAACGCUGGCGGCAGGCCUAACACAUGCAAGUCGAACGGAAACAGGAAGAAGCUUGCUUCUUGGCGGACGAGGGGCGGGGGGGUGAGAAAUGUCGGGGAAACUGCCUGAUGAAGGGGGAAAACUACGGGAAACGGAAGCUAAAACCGCAUAACGUCGCAAGAGCAAAGAGGGGGAGCGAAGGGCGGCUUGCCAGCGGAUGUGACCAGAUGGGAUUAGCUAGUAGGUGGGGUAACGGCUCACCUAGGCGACGAUCCAUAGCUGUUCUGAGAGGAUGACCAGCCACACUGGAACUGAGACACGGUCCAGACUCCUACGGGAGGCAGCAGUGGGGAAUCUUGCACAAUGGGCGCAAGCCUGAUGCAGCCAUGCCGCGUGUAUGAAGAAGGCCUUCGGGUUGUAAAGUUCUUUCAGCGGGGAGGAACGGAUUUGAGUUAAUCCCUUCGCUCCUUGACGUUACCCACAGAAGAAGCCCCGGCUAACUCCGUG